This 13259-nucleotide long non-coding RNA is filed under the name Gossypium barbadense (sea-island cotton). RNAcentral describes it as "long non-coding RNA (GBAR_LNC022719)". The record is from RNAcentral. Lineage: Eukaryota; Viridiplantae; Streptophyta; Magnoliopsida; Malvales; Malvaceae.
AGCUCUUUGUCAACUCCUCAAAUGAACAACAUUUCUCUAACUUCACCAGUACUGUAAAACUAAAGAAUCCAUCCGUUACUACUAUUUUGUCCAUUUGGGUUAGAAGAACUGAGUCUACCACCUUUUCUUUGAUGGUUAAUGAAACUUCUCGUCGAAAAUCUUUCAUUGAGUCUUCAAUCAAAACAGCCAGGCUUUAUGGUUUUCAUGGUUUAGACCUUUAUGGAGUUGAGCCUAGGAAUGGCAUCAAUAUGAGCAGUUUUGGUACUUUCUUGGCCGAGUGGCGAGCUGAGGUAGCAUCCGAGUCAAGAAACUCCGGUAAGACACAGUUGCUAUUAACUAUGUCGGCUAAUCGCUUGCCGAUUGUCAACUCAGUGAGUUAUCCUAUUGAGUCUACAAAGCUAAACCUGGAUUGGGUGCAUAUUAGAGCAUAUGACUACUAUGUGCCAACAUUAGAUAGGUUUACUGGUUUUCAUGCUGCUUUAUAUGACCCAUUAGGAAGGGCCAACACUGAUGAUGGUAUAAAGGAAUGGUUAAAGAGAGAAUUCCCUGCUGAUAAGCUAGUUUUAGGUUUGCCUUACCAUGGCUAUGGAUGGAUGCUUGUUAACUCUGGUGACAGUGGCAUUGAUUCAGCAGCUUCAGGGCGGGCUGUCACCAUUGAUGGUUCAAUGGGGUAUAAGUCAAUCAAAUCAUUCAUUCUAAAUUAUGGUUAUGGCGUUGAAGCUGUGUAUAAUUCUACUUAUGUGGUGAAUAUUUUCAAAAUCGGGUCGAAUUGGAUCAAUUUCGAUGAUGUGGAAGCCAUUAAAGCUAAGGUUUCUUAUGCCAAGGUAAAGGGUCUACUUGGUUACAGUGCCUUUCAACUUUCCAAUGACGAUAAUUGGGUGCUUUCACAAGCUGGUAAUAUGGUUCUCUCCCUUUAGAACAUAUCAAAAUUUUCAGAAAAUACUGAAUUUUUAAACAUUGACUUGGAAAAAGACUUCAACUAGCAUUAUUUCUUGCCUCUAUUUGGUAUAUUUGACUUGGAAAAAUACAUUACCUGUCAUUUCUUUUUGUCUCUUUUACGGCAUUUCAGUUGGACAAUAUGCCACAUAGGUGUCUUGUCAUUAUUAUGCCAUGUUUGCAUGCUAAAAUAUUAAAGAACAGAGCUUAAGUUUGCUAAAAUUCUGAAAUCUUUACAGAACAUUGAACUGUAAUUAAUGUAAUGAAUAAUGUAUCGUUGUUCCGCAGCUUGUGGAAUAGGCACCAGUCAGCCAAAGAAACAUCGAUUAUUGGUUAUUGUUUCGGUUACAGUUGCUGCAAUGGUUUUCCUAAUGAUAGCUAUCAUCUGUUACCUGCAAAAGAAAAUAUUCAAAUCACAAGGUAAGAAUGGACAUGUGAGAAUCUGCAAUGAUUCCAAACAGUUAUCGAACAUUGACUCGAGAAGGUUUCAACUGCAGGGCUUUGGUGUGCAUUGAAAAUGUUGGUUUCUUGGAUAAGAACCAAAACAUCAGCUGAAAAAAGGCAUGAAAACGAUGAUCCUAAUCUCCAAGUUUUCAGUUUCUCUAGCAUUAAAGCUGCCACCAAUAACUUUUCAAAUGAUCAUAAGCUCGGAGAAGGUGGAUAUGGACCUGUUUACAAGGUAAUGUACUAUUACUUUAUUAGCCACUUUCGGGGACUUUGCGGUAAUGUAUAAUGUGUUUGAAGAACCACACGUUUGCCGCUUACCUGCAGGAGGUUCUGAAAUUCCAAGUACAUUCAAAGGAUUAAUCUUUUAUCGUACCUUUUUUUGGUUUUUAAAACUACUAACUGAAUUGUGGAUUGUGGACUAUAACAGGGAAAGUUACCAAACGGGCAGGAAAUAGCGGUGAAGAGGCUCUCGAAAAGCUCGAAUCAAGGGUUCGAGGAGUUCAUGAAUGAGGUCACUCUUACAGCUAGGCUUCAACAUGUGAAUCUAGUUCGAGUUCUGGGAAUUUGUACUGAGAAGGAAGAAAAAUUGCUGGUUUACGAGUUCAUGCCAAACAGAAGCUUGGAUUUCUACCUCUAUGGUAAACAAUGCUUAAUUUUUUCAACUAGUAUUGAGUGUUAAGACAUUUUUAUGGCAUGUUAUUUCAUAAACUUCUUCAGCAAAACACAUUGUUCAUGCACUUAACCGAUGCAGAUCCAUUUAAAAGGCAUCUGUUAGAUUGGAGAAGACGAGUCUCGAUAAUCGAAGGCAUUACACAAGGGCUUCUAUAUCUCCAAGAAUACUCAAAUUACACUAUAAUUCAUCGUGACAUAAAGGCGAGCAAUAUCUUAUUAGAUUAUGAAAUGAACCCAAAGAUAUCAGAUUUCGGGAUGGCUAAAUUUUUCAAGAAGGAUGAACUUGAAGCAAACACCGGCAGAAUUGUUGGGACAUAGUAAGUGAAUCAGACGGUCUCAAAUGAUACAUAUCCGAUUGUUUUCCAUCUUUUCCAUUGAAUCUAUACAUAGUUAUUAAUUCAUUGAUUCAAUGCAGUGGCUAUGUUCCUCCGGAAUACGUUAGGAAAGGAAUAUACUCAACCAAGUAUGACGUUUAUAGUUUCGGAGUUCUACUUUUGCAAAUUAUCAGUGGCAAGAGGAAUUCCAGUCUGUAUGGAUGCCAUGAAAACUUGAAUCUUCUAGAAUAUGUAAGUAACUUUGAGACACUUUUUUUUUCAUCUCCAUUUGGCACACUUUUUCUUCAUCUCCAUUUUGCAGUACGAAUAUUGUAAAAUGUAUAAUGUUGAAUGAUAAUAUCCAGGCAUACGAAUUGUGGAAACAAGGUCGAGAGGCAGAGUUUUUCGAUGCAUCACUGGAUGAUUCAUCUUCGUCAUGUAAGCUCAUUAGAUGUAUGCAAUUGGCACUGCUAUGUGUGCAGGAAAAUCCUACAGAUAGGCCGUCAAUGGUGAAAGUUUUUACUAUUCUCAAGAACGAAAACAGUGCUGCAAUCUCUGUACCUAAGCAGCCUGCAUAUUCAAUAACAAGAUACGAAAGGAAGGAAAGUAUAGACAUUGGGAGGAAGAAAGUUUUUUCUGUUAACGAUGCAUCGAUAACCCAAGUGGAACCUCGAUGACUGACAGCUUAUGCAUUUGGGAAACAUUUAUGUAAAAGGAUCUAUUGAAGCAAUGGUUAGCAUGUAGCAAUCACAUGUUUUAUUAUUAUUAUUAUUAUUAUUAUUAUUAUUAUUAUUAUUAUUAUUAUUUGGAUGUAAUGAUGUAACUUAGUUGUAUUCCAACUAAGUUUGUUAGUGGUAGUAAGUGGUGAUUUAUUUUAAGUGGAUGUAAUGAUGAAACUUAGUUGUAUUCCAACUAAGUUUGUUAGUGGUAGUAAGUGGUGAUUUAUUUUAAGUGGAUGUAAUGUUGAAAUUUAGUUGUAUUCCAACUAAGUUGUCAAGUUGUAAGCUUGUAUAAAUAGGCUUUAUGCCAUUUUAAAAAAAUAUGAAUUAAUUCAAUCAAGAUUUCAUCCAUAUACUCUCUAUUUUAGCUUUGCUUAAAAUUUAUUUCAUUUUUCUUCUUUGUUUCUACCGCAAGUCUCGAUUCUUGCUCGGCAAGCUUUUUGUUGAACCUUGCUAUUUGUUGUACUUAGCUCCAACAAUUGGUAUCAGAGCCUACUUCUUAAGGGAUCUGUUAUACAAAUUCAUGGCUUCAUCAAGCUUUUCACCAGCUGCACCUCAAGUCUUCAAUGGAGAAGGCUACCACAUAUGGGUGGUUAAAAUGAAGACCUACCUACAAGCUUUCGAUCUGUGGGAGGUAGUCAACUCAGAUGUUGAACCAGAGCCACUUAGAGGCAAUCCAACAGUAGCUCAAAUUAGGCAACAUGCUGAUGAGAGGACCAAGAGGCACAAAGCCAUGUCUUGCAUCCAGAACUCAGUGUCAGAUGUGAUUUUCACAAGGAUUAUGGCCUGUGAAUCACCAAAACAAGCCUGGGACAAGUUGCAAGAGGAGUUUCAAGGGACAGAGAGGACAAGGCAGCAACAGUUGCUGAACUUAAGGAGAGAUUUCGAGAAUUUGAAGAUGAAGGAAGAAGAAACUAUCAAGCAGUACUCUGACAGGAUUAUGGCUGUGGUUAACAGCAUUAGGCUCCUUGGAGAGCAGCUUAAGGAAGCUAGGAUAGUGGAGAAGGUUAUUGCAACUCUGCCCGAGAGGUAUGAGGCAAAAAUCUCAUCUCUCGAGGACUCAAGGGACCUGUACACCAUCUCCCUGACAGAGUUGAUCAAUGUUUUAUAUGCUCAAGAGCAAAGAAGAGCAAGCAGACUGGAGGAGCAUCAAGAAGGUGCCUUUCAGGCAAGAACAAACACUGCCUACAAAGGCAAGAAGGCCUGAAGAGACAAGCCAAUGACUGAUGUUGCAAGAAAAGAGGGUCAGACUUGCAAGCACUGCAGAAGGGCUGGUCAUCCAAAAGAAAAAUGCUGGUUCAAUCCAGAUGCUGUAUGUCAGCAUUGUAAAAAGAAGGGUCAUGUUGAGAGAGUCUGCAAGAGCAAGGCCAAAUCAAGGCAGAGUCUGUUUCAACAGAUGAAAGCUGAGGCUCGACUAGCUAAGGAGGACAGUGACCAAGAGGAGCAAGUCUUUGCUGUGUUAUGCUCAGCUGCUCAAGAAAGGUUCUCAUCUGGUUGGCUUCUAGACAGUGGAUGCACCAACCACAUGACACCUGAUGCUGCAAUCUUCAAGUCUUUAGACAGAAGCUGCAGAACUAAAGUCAAGAUAGGAAAUGGACAUUUUAUUCAAGCUGAAGGCAAGGGUGAUGUGCUGAUAUGCACCCCCACAGGUGCCAAAGUGAUUUCAAAUGUGCUUUUGGUGCCUGAAAUUGACAGAAACCUGCUCAGCAUAGCUCAGUUGCUGGAGAAAGGUUAUUCUGUUGUGUUCAAAGACAACCAAUGCCAAAUCAAUGAUCCAAGUGGAUCCAAGCUGAUGGCAGUUCCUAUGGCUAAUAAGAGCUUUGUAGUUGACUGGACCAGGGAGUCAAACAUUGCCUACACAGUCACAUCAGAUGAAUCCAAGCUUUGGCAUCAAAGACUGGGACAUGCCAACUUCAGAUCGAUGGCUCGAAUGGUCAGAGAGGACUUGGCUGAAAACUUCAUCAACUCAGUAGAUCAUGAUGAUGUGUGUGAAGUGUGUCAGCUAGGAAAGCAGGCCAGACUCCCAUUUCCCUCGAAUCAAGCCUGGAGAGCCUCUGAAAAACUCCAACUGGUGCACACUGAUGUGUGUGGCCCUAUGAGGACUGAGUCAUUAAGUGGAAACAGGUACUUCAUACUGUUCACUGAUGAUUUUUCAAGAUAUUGCUGGCUUUACUUCCUAAAACAGAAAUCAGAGGCGGCCUCAGUGUUUUGGAAGUUCAAGACUACUGCUGAGACUGAAACAGGUUGCAAGCUGAAGUCCAUAAGGUCUGAUAAUGGGACUGAGUACACCUCAGCUCAGUUCCAAGCCUUCUGUGAUAAGGCAGGCAUCAAACAUCAACUUACCAACACAUAUACACCUCAGCAAAAUGGUGUAAGUGAAAGGAAGAAUAAGAGUUUGAUGGAUAUGGCCAGGUGCUUGAUGAUUCAGAAGAAUCUGCCUAAAGCACUAUGGGCAGAGGCAGUUAACACUGCAAACUACAUUCAAAAUAGGCUUCCAACCAAGGCCUUGGAUCAGAAGACUCCAUUCGAAGCCUGGUUUGGAUUCAAGCCAUCACUGGCUCAUCUGAAGGUCUUUGGAUGCAUCUGUUAUGCUCAUGUACCUGCUGUCAAAAGGGACAAAUUGUCUGAAAGGGCUCGACCUGGUAUUUUGGUGGGCUACAGCACUGUUAAGAAGGGCUAUAGGAUCUUGGAUCCUUCAACAAAGAAAGUGUCAGUCAGUAGGGAUGUGGUAUUUGAUGAAAAGUCAUGUUGGAACUGGGAAAAACAUGAACCUGAGGAAGUUUCAGAAGGACUUGCAGCAGAUCAAGUUGAGCCAGAUCAAAAUGUUCCUGAAAUGGACAUUGAUGAUGAACCAGUUAGAGGAACAAGACCAUUGACUGAGAUUUAUGAAAGAGCUCAUGUAGCCAUAGCUGAACCAAGCAAUUUUGAAGAGGCUGAAACUCAGCAAGAGUGGAAGCAGGCAAUGGCUGAGGAGAUUAGCAUGAUUGAGAAGAACCAGACCUGGGAAUUAGUUGAAAGGCCAGUCAAAAGGAAGAUAAUUGGGGUGAAAUGGGUGUACAAAGCCAAGCAAAAUGCUGAUGGUACCUUGAACAAACUGAAAGCAAGGCUAGUUGUCAAGGGGUUCAGUCAGAGGUAUGGCCUGGACUACCUGGAGACCUUUGCACCAGUGGCCAGGCUAGACACCAUCAGAUUACUGAUUGCCUUAGCAGCACAGCUCGAGUGGAAGAUCCAUCAACUCGAUGUAAAAUCAGCCUUUCUGAAUGGUUUCUUAGAUGAAGAGAUCUAUGUUGAACAACCACAAGGGUUUGAGAUAGCUGGCAGAGAGCAUAUGUCUACAAACUGAAGAAGGCCCUAUAUGGCUUAAAACAGGCUCCAAUGGCCUGGUACAGCAGAAUCGAUGGCUACUUGACUAAUUUGGGAUUCGAUCGAAGCAAGAGUGAGCCAACACUGUAUGUCAAGAAGCAAGGGACACAAACACAGCUCAUUGUAUCCCUAUAUGUUGAUGACCUGCUGGUGACAGGAGGAGAUCGAGCAGUGCUGGUCGAUUUCAAGACCAAGAUGCAAGAAGUAUUUGAAAUGUCUGAUCUAGGGGAAAUGUCUUAUUUCCUUGGAAUAGAGGUGACUCAAGCACAAAAUGGGAUAUUUCUAAGUCAGAGAAACUUUGCCACAAAGAUUCUGACCAAGUUCUCCAUGCAAAACAGUAAAGCAACUAAAACACCUGUUGCUGUUGGAGAAAAACUAUCGAGCCAAGGUGAUUUUGAGAAGGUUUGUGAAACAACCUACAGAAGUCUAGUUGGUUGUCUGUUAUAUUUAACUGCCACUAGACCAGACAUAAUGUAUGCUGUAGGAUUGCUCUCAAGGUUCUUGCAUUGUUGCAAUAAAAAGCAUUUACAAGCUGCUAAGAGAGUGCUUAGAUAUGUCAAAGGCACUUUGAGCUAUGGUUUAAGGUACAGCAAGGAAGGAAAUCUGAAGCUGGUUGGCUACACUGAUAGUGACUGGGCUGGCUCGAUAGAUGACAUGAAAAGCACCUCAGGGUAUGCUUUCAACCUUGGUUCAGCCAUGUUUUGCUGGAGCUCGAAGAAGCAAAGUCUGGUGGCUCAAUCUACUGCUGAAGCAGAAUAUGUGGCAGCUGCAAGUGCUGUCAACCAAGCCAUUUGGCUAAGGAAAAUCUUAGCUGAUUUGAAAGUGCAUCAAAAGGAAGCUACUGAGAUCUUCUGUGACAACCAAUCUUCAGUUGCAAUUGCUAAAAAUCCAGUGUUCCAUGGAAGAACAAAGCAUUUCAGCAUCAAGUUGCAUGUUGUUCGAGAAAUGGAGCAAGCUCAGGAAGUGAAGCUGAUCCAUUGUAAUUUUGAGGAUCAACUUGCAGACAUUUUGACUAAAGCCCUUAAUUUCACAAGGUUCAAAUGUCUAAGAAGGAAGCUAGGUGUUUGCUCCAUGCAAACCAAGGAGGAGUAUUGAAGCAAUGGUUAGCAUGUAGCAAUCACAUGUUUUAUUAUUAUUAUUAUUAUUAUUAUUAUUAUUAUUAUUUGGAUGUAAUGAUGUAACUUAGUUGUAUUCCAACUAAGUUUGUUAGUGGUAGUAAGUGGUGAUUUAUUUUAAGUGGAUGUAAUGAUGAAACUUAGUUGUAUUCCAACUUAAAUUGUCAAGUUGUAAGCUUGUAUAAAUAGGCUUUAUGCCAUUUUAAAAAAAUAUGAAUGAAUUCAAUCAAGAUUUCAUCCAUAUACUCUCUAUUUUAGCUUUGCUUAAAAUUUAUUUCAUUUUUCUUCUUUGUUUCUGUCGCAAGUCUCGAUUCUUGCUCGGCAAGCUUUUUGUUGAACCUUGCUAUUUGUUGCACUUAGCUCCAACAGGAUCAUGUUUUUUUUUUUUACCAACCUUUGGUCAUGCAAAUAUAGAUAUUAAAGAUUGGAGCAAGUUGUUGAAUCUAUAGGUUUAAUGGUGAUUGAUUUUCAAGCCAAAAAGAACAGGAAAAGAGGAAAAUUUUCAUUACAAGCUGAAGUUGGAACAAAUAACUAACCUUAUAUUGAGUCUGGGUUUUCCUUUUUUGCGUAUGAAAGCUGCAUGUCCCUUCAAAACUUCAACUUUGUUACACCUCAGGAUAUUUUCCUCUUUCCUUACAAUAUUCAAAGAUUUUCAUAUUUUCUUCAACGUCGUAUGUUUUCUGCUAUGCAAUCACCAUGAAAACAGAGAAAUAAGGAACCAAAGCUCUCGACUCCAAGUCCAAACCACACCAUCAGCAAGAAAGAAGGUAUGAACCCCAUACCAACAGGUAGUGAUGUUGGAAUCAGUACCGUAUUAAUCGGUUGAACUAAAAAUUCGUAUUAAUCGGUUCAACUAAAAAUCGGUAAUUAAUUAUUUACUAAUUUGAACUUUGAAGAAAAAUGUAAUAACUCAAUAUCCUUUUAUAUAUAUAUAUAUAAAAGGACUAUGAACAAAUUUGUCAAUUGUCGUUUCAUUGUCUCCUGCGAUAAUUAUAUCAUCCCAAAUGUAACAUCAUUUGAAUUGAACAAACAUCGAUGCAUUUCAUCGAGAUAAUGAAAACAAUGGUAACAUCAUUUGAUAUAUAGCCCUUAAAGAUUGCUUUAACCUGUAAAGUGGCUCAUGAAAUUUACACACAAGGUUUUUACCUCUAAACGUGUUGCUUAUAAAUUGGGGGUUGUUGCAUAUAUACAUUUUCUAUAAUAUCCCCUAUUGACAUCUAUUUUCUAUGGAUGGAUGAAAAUUUAAUUAAAAUUUUCAAAGCAGUCUAUUUUUAUGUCUCAAAACAUACUAACUUUGAAGCUAAAAAUCUCAAAAUAAUUUAUGACUUGUCUCAAGACAUAAAUAUCCUUGUCUCAAGGUAUGAAUUUGAAAUUUGUUGAUAUUUGAGUUUAGAUUCGAAUUCUAACUCUAAUAUUAACCCAUGCAAUUCCGUAAAUUGAUAAAAUGAAAUCAUUGAGUUUAUAAAUAAUAUAUAUGUGAAUUAUAUGAUAAUUAAAUUGAAUGUAUUUAUGCUAUAGUAGCUUGAGUUGUGAUAAGUCAUAAAAGUAACAUAUUUUAAUCCUAUUUUUAAUGCGUUUCUGGAUUAUUAAUGAUGUAAAUUAGUGAAUUUGAUGCUCCUAAUCCUUUAAAUUCAUGUUUCUAUCACUACAUCAAAACAGGCUUUUAGCGACGUUUUUUUAAGCCUUUAGCAGCGCUUUUUAGCGCCGCUAAAAGUAUUUGCGACGCUUUCAGGAGAGCAUUUAGGAGCAAAAGGAGCGAAAAACGAGUCAAAAUGGGACGAAUAAAGUUGUUUUCAGGAUCCACAUGACCUAGGCAUAUCCAUACGGGCUGGCCACACGCCCAUGUGCUAGCCCGUGUUGAUAUCGCACACUGUUUCCCAAACACGCAGAAAAACUCAAUUUUUAGACUUUCUUAGUAUUCUAAAGUCUAUAAAUGUCAAUUAGAAGAAGACUUAAGGGGGCAUUCAGAGAAGAUUGAAGAAAAGACUCGAAAAACGCCAUCGGAUUCAACUCGAAAGCGGAUCUCCUUCAAGAUUGAAGAUCUCCAUUUAAUUUCAUUCGAAGUUUUAUUGAGUUUCUUUAUGUCUUGUUGUUAUCCUAUUUUUGAGAUGUUUUCAUUCCAGAUUAUGAACUAAAUUUCCUAGAUACCUAGGGAAGAUAAAACCUAUGAUGAAUCUUAUUAUUUGAUUUUUGAUUUACAUGGUAAAUAUUUGAUUCUUGUUCUGAAUUAUGUACGCUUAUUUCGUGUUUUAAUAUUUUUAUGAUAUUAAUUCAUGUUUAAUUUAUUUAUUUCAAUGGAGCAAAAAUCCCUGUUUAAGAGUAGAUCUAGCAUAAUUGAGUGGAAUUGCAUGCAAUCCUAGAAAUAGGACGACAUAAAUCUACCGAAUUAGAGUCAAAUCUAAUAGGGGAAUCCAUAGAUCGAGUUAAUGCGACAAUAGGGGCUUUAAUUAGAAAGAGAUUUUAAUUAAUCAACCUAGAGCCAGUUGUUCUUACUCUCGAAAGAGAUAUUAACAUAAUUUAGGGAUUUCUACGGAUUAAGACACAAGUGAAUAAAUUGUUUACAUCGAAUUCAUAAUAAUAGGUGAAGUCUAGGUGGAUCCUUUCUUGGGUAUUAUUUGUCUCAUUAAGUAUCAUCGAUUAUUUUCCUAUUUCAUUCUCUGUUACGUUCAUAGUUAAAUUAGAUUAGUAAAUUUAGAUUAAAAACAAUCACUCCAAUUCAUCGGCUAAAUAAUAGAAAAAGUAAUUACUAGUACUUUUAGUUCUCAUGGAUACGAUAUUCCCUACUCACCAUAGCUAUACUAUUGUUCGAUAGGUGCGCUUGUCUUUGUCAUAAUUAUAGUUAGUUUAGUGACCUUCAAGUAGUUUCGACAACAUAACAUGACAUCACAUGUUCGGAACCGACAAUCAGAUCUAGAGUGUUACAAAUUCCACAUUUACUCACAUUAUAUGUUUUUUGAUAUCUCAAAAAAUGAAUUCUACCGUCACUAAAUGUAUGAAAUUAAUCAUACAACAUCUGAUCAUUUUGACCAUCCGAUCCUUUAUGAAACAAGAGCCAUAAAAAAAUUAUUAAUGAAACAAGAGCCUUAGUCGUAUUUUUAGUUAGUCACGUGAGACACAUCAGCUAUCUUUUGAUGAGUAAAACCAGGAAGGAAAAAAGAAAGGUCUAAGUUGAAGCUAGACAAGACAAGUCUCAAAAGGGGGUUUACAAAAAGAGUAAGGUUAUGACCAAAUUCGCCCUGAUAUGUUCGCCUGUGAUAUGUUUGCUAGUGAUGUGUUCAAGAAGAACAUAUAGGCGUCAACCAUGCCAGUAAAUUUCAUGAGCUUACAUGAAACUCAAGGAGUUAUUUACGUGCAUUACUCCCUAUUACUCGUAAUAUUAAUAAUAUAUUAAUAUGUUAUCAUUUAAUAGUUGAUGUAUGGAAUCUCACUAAGUUCAUUCAAACUUAUGAGUGGCUUGCCUUAAGUGCAGGAUCCAAGGCUGUUAUGAAAAGUGUGGGAAUGGACCAAGGCAGAUUUUGCGGAAUCCUUAUGGGCUUUUUUUGUUCUGGUAUCAUGCAUAUAGAGGGGCUCCAUUAUAGGCUACACCUUGAGGUUGAAUUUGUAAUUAAGUAGAAUCCAAUUUUUCAGAAUAAGUGUAUAAGUAAAUUCAGUGGAUGAGUAUGAUUGUAAAGAACAUUAAUCUCCUUAGUUAGGUAAUCAUAUAAUAACAAGUUUAAUGUGAUGUUCAUUUAUGGAAAGGUUAUGGAUAAUUAAUUGAUUGGAUUAAAGUUGUACGACAACAUAAUAUUAAAUCUGGCAUGAAAUUAAAUAAAUUAAGAAUUUGUUGUUAGAUAAUACGGUUCAAUUAUGACGUUCAACACCCGGACCUGACGAUUGGGUUCGCGAAGUGGCAAGGUGCAAGUUAUAGCUAAAACUUUGGUGCAUGCACAUUUUGUCUAGUUUGCAUGCUAGUCUUUUGUUUAGUUCUUUGUAAUUUCAUUUAGUUAAGAAUGGAUUUGGUUUGCUUUCGUUUUGAUGUGUUUAAGUGCUGAUUGACAUAAUCAAGUUAUGUGCAAGCAAAGUUUUACAAGUUACAAGGUUAUUAGUGGGAGUAGUUAAAGGUUCGAUUGUAUUUGGUAUUGGUUUGACAAUAUAUGUUGUAUUUUUAAAGAAAUGAAAUACAUAUUGUUAUAAUAGGCGCCAACAAUAUAACCAAUGUAAAAUAAUAAGAAAAGAAAAAAUAUAAAUAUAAAUUUUACGUAAAAAUCUUUUGGGGGAAAAAAUCAUGGAUAAAAGAGGAGAAAUUUAUUAAUGUUAAAAAUUAAAUGAUACAAAAUGAGUUUCAACUAUAUUUAUUUAAAUGCUAAAAAACCUUAUUUUAAUCUAUGUAAAAUAAAAAAUUACAAUUUUAUACGGAUUCUUCUUAUACAGCACAUAUAAUUUGAGCAACGUUUGUUUUUGCUCCUUAAAACUAUAGCCCUUGGAUGAUGAAGUUCUGGCUAGGGCUGAUGGGAUCAAUUUGUAUAAAUCAUAUAGUAAUUCAAAAUUAUCAGAAAUGUAAGAAAACGUCAACUCUGAAAUUCAAUUUGUGUAAAUCUUUUCGUCAGUCCAAAACAGUUCGAUGAUGAUGAUAUUCACAUGGCGAAAUAGAAGACAGUGUGAGCACGGAAAGAAAGGCGGUCCCGCUUUAUGUGGUGCUGGCAAUCGAUAGCUUCAUUAGUCAACAGUCAACUCUGAAAUUAGUUAGCCUUGAAAGUGACCCACCUUUACUAUAUACUCGCACACUUUCUAUUUUCAUCCAUAGGGAAGUGCUAUACGAAAUCUUGUUCCAUUAUGAAAGAAACCCAAUGCAUUGGUGAUGGCAGAUGAGAAUUUCAUCUUUUUUUGCUCUUUCUCUCACAACCUACUGUUCAAGUUCAAAAAAAGUGAUGGUCAAGUUUUAUUUCAAAAAUCGAACCCUUUAAUUUGAUUUAAAUUUCCACCAUCUGAAAUGAUCCAGUCCAAUCUCUCUUUGUCUCUUCAAAUCCAACUUUGUUACGGUCAAGGAAGUUUCCUCUUUUGUUUACACAAUUGAAUAGAGUUCCAGUUUUCUCCGAGAACAAAAUAAAUGUUUCCCACUAACAGUAAAAAGAGAUUGAUUUUUCAAUGGCUUCUAAUAAACCCAUUUUUUUCUCCUUCUUCUUCCUCUUGCUGUUUCUCUCAUUGAACCUGCAAAGCUCAGUCUCACAAACAUGGAUCAAAGCUGGUUACUGGGACUCUAGCGCUUCCCUUCCAGUUUCUGAUAUAAACUCUGCUCUUUUCACUCAUCUUUUUUGCGCUUUUGCUUAUGUAAACUCAACCUCCUAUCAGCUCUUUGUCAACUCCUCAAAUGAACAACAUUUCUCUAACUUCACCAGUACUGUAAAACUAAAGAAUCCAUCCGUUACUACUAUUUUGUCCAUUUGGGUUGGAAGAACUGAGUCAGAGUCUACCAACUUUUCUUUGAUGGUUAAUGAAACUUCUCGUCGAAAAGCUUUCAUUGAGUCUUCAAUCAAAACAGCCAGGCUUUAUGGUUUUCAUGGUUUAGACCUUUAUGGAGUUGAGCCUAGGAAUGGCAUCAAUAUGAGCAGUUUUGGUACUUUCUUGGCCGAGUGGCGAGCUGAGGUAGCAUCCGAGUCAAGAAACUCCGGUAAGACACAGUUGCUAUUAACUAUGUCGGCUAAUCGCUUGCCGAU